UCCGGUUUGACACCGGCAGUCUCCCUAGAGUGCCCGGCAUAACCCGCUGGUAACUAGGGACGAGGGUUGCGCUCGUUGCGGGACUUAACCCAACAUCUCACGACACGAGCUGACGACAGCCAUGCAGCACCUCGACUCCACUCCCUUGCGGGAUAGCGAUGUUUCCAUCGCCGUUGGGAAGCCGUUCGAGCCCAGGUAAGGUUCUUCGCGUUGCGUCGAAUUGAACCACAUGCUCCACCGCUUGUGCGGGCCCCAGUCAAUUCCUUUGAGUUUCAGCCUUGCGACUGUACUCCCCAGGCGGCAUAUUUAACGCGUUAGCUCCGGCACAGAUCAACUGAAUGACCUACACCAAAUAUGCAUCGUUUAGGGCGUGGACUAC
Molecule: unclassified non-coding RNA, 379 nt
Filed under: uncultured Bryobacterales bacterium
Lineage: Bacteria; Pseudomonadati; Acidobacteriota; Terriglobia; Bryobacterales
Description: contains 16S-23S intergenic spacer region
Source: RNAcentral